UGGCUCAGUUGGUAGAGCAUGGUGUUUGCAACGCCAGCAUGGUGAGUGCAACGCCAGGGUUGUGGGUUUGAUUCCCAC
Molecule: non-coding RNA, 78 nt
Organism: Salmo salar (Atlantic salmon)
Lineage: Eukaryota; Metazoa; Chordata; Actinopteri; Salmoniformes; Salmonidae
Source: Rfam